Molecule: ribosomal RNA, 880 nt
Filed under: Bacillus subtilis
Lineage: Bacteria; Bacillati; Bacillota; Bacilli; Caryophanales; Bacillaceae
Description: bacterial SSU rRNA
Rfam family: Bacterial small subunit ribosomal RNA
Source: RNAcentral
AGAGUUUGAUUCUUGGCUCAGGACGAACGCGGCGGCGUGCCUAAUACAUGCAAGUCGAGCGGACAGAUGGGAGCUUGCUCCUGAUGUUAGCGGCGGACGGGUGAGUAACACGUGGGUAACCUGCCUGUAAGACUGGGAUAACUCCGGGAAACCGGGGCUAAUACCGGAUGGUUGUUUGAACCGCAUGGUUCAAACAUAAAAGGUGGCUUCGGCUACCACUUACAGAUGGACCCGCGGCGCAUUAGCUAGUUGGUGAGGUAAUGGCUCACCAAGGCAACGAUGCGUAGCCGACCUGAGAGGGUGAUCGGCCACACUGGGACUGAGACACGGCCCAGACUCCUACGGGAGGCAGCAGUAGGGAAUCUUCCGCAAUGGACGAAAGUCUGACGGAGCAACGCCGCGUGAGUGAUGAAGGUUUUCGGAUCGUAAAGCUCUGUUGUUAGGGAAGAACAAGUACCGUUCGAAUAGGGCGGUACCUUGACGGUACCUAACCAGAAAGCCACGGCUAACUACGUGCCAGCAGCCGCGGUAAUACGUAGGUGGCAAGCGUUGUCCGGAAUUAUUGGGCGUAAAGGGCUCGCAGGCGGUUUCUUAAGUCUGAUGUGAAAGCCCCCGGCUCAACCGGGGAGGGUCAUUGGAAACUGGGGAACUUGAGUGCAGAAGAGGAGAGUGGAAUUCCACGUGUAGCGGUGAAAUGCGUAGAGAUGUGGAGGAACACCAGUGGCGAAGGCGACUCUCUGGUCUGUAACUGACGCUGAGGAGCGAAAGCGUGGGGAGCGAACAGGAUUAGAUACCCUGGUAGUCCACGCCGUAAACGAUGAGUGCUAAGUGUUAGGGGGUUUCCGCCCCUUAGUGCUGCAGCUAACGCAUUAAGCACUCC